GCGACACUUCCAUUGGACUCCGUUGUAUGCUUUUUGCUGCCUACUUCCGGGGUAUGCAGCCUCACAUAGUUCCAAACAUCCAUUCUGUGGCGUUGGACAUCAUUCAUUUCCAUUGCUGGCCGCCGAGUAACUUCUGAGGUGGUGGAUGCUGCUGAUGGGGGAUGCUGCUAAUGGUGGCUGGUGGCUUGAGCUGGCUGGUUCUGGCAAACACUGCUGCUGCAGGUCGCUGCUUCUAGAGGCAAUGGCUGCUUGAGCUGGCUGGUGGUGGCGCAGGAUGGUGGUGUCUACUUCUGCAGUUAGUGGUUGGCGGCUUGUGCUGGUGACGGCUGUUGGUGGUGGCAACUGCUGGUGGCUGGUGAUGGUGGCGGCGGCUACUGGCUGCGAUUGUUGUCCUUCCUUUCGACCUGAUGCACUUUGCUAUCCUUAACCUCAGCCUUAUGUAUUUGGAGUAUUUUGUUUGUUGAUCAAUAACUUAAAAGAUUCCUCCCUGUUCCUUCACUUUGUUCUUGUUUUUCAAGUUGGAUACACACACACACACACACACACACACAUUCUUGUUGUCUCAUUCAUUGUUUAGUAAAAAAAUACUAUAUCAUUCA
Long non-coding RNA from Gadus macrocephalus (Pacific cod), 599 nucleotides. RefSeq lists it as uncharacterized. The record is from RefSeq and is a predicted model, not a curated record. The transcript has 2 exons. Lineage: Eukaryota; Metazoa; Chordata; Actinopteri; Gadiformes; Gadidae.